This 339-nucleotide unclassified non-coding RNA is filed under the name soil metagenome. Its description in RNAcentral is "partial contains 5.8S ribosomal RNA, internal transcribed spacer 2, and large subunit ribosomal RNA". The stretch from base 1 to 120 matches the Rfam family "5.8S ribosomal RNA", at positions 35 to 154 of the family's 154-position model. The record is from RNAcentral.
GAUGUAGAACGCAGCGAAAUGCGAUACGUAGUGUGAAUUGCAGAAUUCAGUGAAUCAUCGAAUCUUUGAACGCACAUUGCACCUCUCGGUAUUCCGGGAGGUAUGCCUGUUCGAGCGUCAUUUGUACCCUCAAGCUCUGCUUGGUGUUGGGUGUUUGUUCCGCCUCUGUGUGUGAACUCGCCUCAAAACAAUUGGCAGCCGGCGUACUUGUUUCGGAGCGCAGCACAUUUUGCGAUCCAGAUCAACGUACAGCGGCAUCCAAGAAGCCUUAUUUAACGCUCUUGACCUCGGAUCAGGUAGGGAUACCCGCUGAACUUAAGCAUAUCAAUAAGCGGAGGA